UACAUGGGGUGCAAACGUUGCUCGGAAUUAUUGGGCGUAAAGCGCACGUAGGCGGUUUGUUAAGUCGGAUGUGAAAUCCCUCGGCUCAACUGAGGAAGUGCAUCCGAAACUGGCAAGCUUGAGUACGAAAGAGGGUCGCGGAAUUCCCGGUGUAGAGGUGAAAUUCGUAGAUAUCGGGAGGAACACCGGUGGCGAAGGCGGCGACCUGGGUCGAUACUGACGCUGAGAUGCGGAAGCGUGGGGAGCAAACAGG
Molecule: ribosomal RNA, 253 nt
Filed under: uncultured bacterium
Lineage: Bacteria
Description: partial 16S ribosomal RNA
Rfam family: Bacterial small subunit ribosomal RNA
Source: RNAcentral